RNAcentral lists this non-coding RNA (192 nucleotides) under Bacilli bacterium. Its description in RNAcentral is "6S RNA". It matches the Rfam family "6S / SsrS RNA". Rfam says of the family: E. coli 6S RNA was the first non coding RNA to be sequenced, but its function was unknown until recently. It consists of 184 nucleotides that fold into an extended hairpin structure with a large single-stranded internal bulge. The 6S RNA specifically associates with RNA polymerase holoenzyme containing the sigma70 specificity factor. RNAcentral also lists the same sequence under 1 other name. Lineage: Bacteria; Bacillati; Bacillota; Bacilli. The record is from RNAcentral.
AAGUGUCAAGGAGAUGCGAAAUCUGUUCUCAUAUAAAACCGACUAAAGUGACGAUACGGGAGUUCCGAUCAGUUAUCGGUGUUGAAGACCUUCCACUUAUACGUGGGUAGGGAUCCUAAAGAUAACGUACGAACACCCACCUGUGGAAAUGCAGGUUUUAUCGUUGGGCAGAACGCUCUUCCUUGACUUUUU